UACAGAGGGUGCAAGCGUUAAUCGGAGUUACUGGGCGUAAAGAGCACGUAGGCGGUUGAAUAAGUCAGUUGUGAAAUCUCCGGGCUUAACUCGGAAAGGUCAACUGAUACUGUGCGGCUAGAGUGCAGAAGGGGCAACUGGAAUUCUCGGUGUAGCGGUGAAAUGCGUAGAUAUCGAGAGGAACACCUGCGGCGAAGGCGGGUUGCUGGGCUGACACUGACGCUGAUGCGCGAAAGCCAGGGGAGCGAACGGG
Molecule: ribosomal RNA, 253 nt
Filed under: uncultured bacterium
Lineage: Bacteria
Description: partial 16S ribosomal RNA
Rfam family: Bacterial small subunit ribosomal RNA
Source: RNAcentral